This 72-nucleotide transfer RNA is filed under the name Camelus bactrianus (Bactrian camel). It matches the Rfam family "tRNA". Rfam says of the family: Transfer RNA (tRNA) molecules are approximately 80 nucleotides in length. Their secondary structure includes four short double-helical elements and three loops (D, anti-codon, and T loops). Further hydrogen bonds mediate the characteristic L-shaped molecular structure. tRNAs have two regions of fundamental functional importance: the anti-codon, which is responsible for specific mRNA codon recognition, and the 3' end, to which the tRNAs corresponding amino acid is attached (by aminoacyl-tRNA synthetases). tRNAs cope with the degeneracy of the genetic code in two manners: having more than one tRNA (with a specific anti-codon) for a particular amino acid; and 'wobble' base-pairing, i.e. permitting non-standard base-pairing at the 3rd anti-codon position. The record is from Rfam by way of RNAcentral. Lineage: Eukaryota; Metazoa; Chordata; Mammalia; Artiodactyla; Camelidae. RNAcentral also lists the same sequence under 2 other names.
GAGGGUAUUGCUCAAAGGUAGAUCACAUGCCUAGCAUGCUUGAAAUCCUGGGUUCAAUCCCCAGUAAUUCCA